Molecule: ribosomal RNA, 253 nt
Filed under: uncultured bacterium
Lineage: Bacteria
Description: partial 16S ribosomal RNA
Rfam family: Bacterial small subunit ribosomal RNA
Source: RNAcentral
UACGUAGGGUGCGAGCGUUGUCCGGAAUUACUGGGCGUAAAGAGCUCGUAGGUGGUUUGUCGCGUUGUCCGUGAAAACUCACAACUCAAUUGUGGGCGUGCGGGCGAUACGGGCAGGCUGGAGUACUGCAGGGGAGACUGGAAUUCCUGGUGUAGCGGUGGAAUGCGCAGAUAUCAGGAGGAACACCGGUGGCGAAGGCGGGUCUCUGGGCAGUAACUGACGCUGAGGAGCGAAAGCGUGGGGAGCGAACAGG